RNAcentral lists this long non-coding RNA (261 nucleotides) under Phoenix dactylifera (date palm). RNAcentral describes it as "long non-coding RNA (PDAC_LNC010909)". The record is from RNAcentral. Lineage: Eukaryota; Viridiplantae; Streptophyta; Magnoliopsida; Arecales; Arecaceae.
AAAGAAGACCGAUACUUCUCUUUUUAUUUCAGCCGGCACACAACCGGGAUCCCCCCUUCCCUUCUCUUCUUUUUCUUCGAACUUUUCCUCUCCUUCUCUUCUUCUCUCUUUUCUUCUCUUUUUCUCUCUUUUUCCUUCUCUUCUUCUCUCUUUUUCCUUCUUCUUCUUCUUCUUCUUCUUCUUCUUCUUCUUCUCUCUGUCACCGCCUGAGGCUCCCCCCCUUUUCUUCUCUGUUUCACUCCACCGACACAGCCAACCCAC